Molecule: long non-coding RNA, 298 nt
Organism: Anneissia japonica
Lineage: Eukaryota; Metazoa; Echinodermata; Crinoidea; Comatulida; Comatulidae
Exons: 3
Source: RefSeq, a predicted model, not a curated record
GAUGGGGCAACGGCAUUGUACAUAAGUGCUCAAAAUGGUCAUACAGAUGCUUGUAAACUUCUUAUUCAAUCAGGAGCCAACAAGGAUAUUCAGGCGGAAAAUGGGGCAACGGCAUUGCACAUAAGUGCUCAAAAUGGUCAUACAGAUGCUUGUAAACUUCUUAUUCAAUCAGGAGGCAACAAGGAUAUUCAAAUGAAAAAUGGGGCAACGGCAUUGUACAUAAGUGCUCAAAAUGGUCAUACAGAUGCUUGUAAACUUCUUAUUCAAUCAGGAGCCAACAAGGAUAUUCAGGCGGAAG